This 2860-nucleotide long non-coding RNA is filed under the name Salmo salar (Atlantic salmon). RNAcentral's name for it is "lncRNA (ENSSSAG00000106201.1)". Lineage: Eukaryota; Metazoa; Chordata; Actinopteri; Salmoniformes; Salmonidae. The record is from RNAcentral.
GAAAAAACAUAAUCGGUCGACCUCUAGUACUGACUCACCCUCUUCCUGUUUGCAGCUUCCAAAAAACGAACUGCUCGUAAAUUACGUUUCUGGCGGGUUUGAAGUAAUUCUCCAAUGCAUCCAAUAUAGCCUUUGUAUCACACUGUUGUCGUGCUGUGAGGGUGAGAUUGUGCCGGUAGAUGUGCAGGUAGAUAUGCCUGCAUUCGCUGCCCAUUAAACUCCUCAGAGUUGCCGCUUGUACCUCGUUGGGUUUCUCAUGUAGACCGGUCGCCAGUGCAUAGUCCUCGAAUUCAUCCCUGAAGUUGUCCCAAUUAGUAUUCUAGUCCCCUGUGAGCACCAUGGGAUUUGGUGGCGGACUGUUUUCUGCCAUAGCGAAGGAAUAGGAGAUUUCUUUGCCUUCAGUCAUCGAGGUAGGUCGUGAUGCUAGCUAGCCAGUUAACAACAAGUUGAUCAGUGUUGUGACUAGGAGUAGGAAACGGCGUGUGUUCACAUAUGGAACGUAACUGCGCCUAUACAAAAAUAACAAACGUGUGGUUUUCGAGCCACUUCUAAUACCCUGUUUCAUUAUGAUAUGUUGAAUAAAGACAGACACCAAUGUCAAGUUCAAUAGCCUUGUUCAUGCAUUAUACAAAUCCCUACACGUGGAGUCCGGGGAACAGUCCGGCUAGUCGAUUACCUAUCAACUAGACUCCGUAACAGCCCCCUCCCGCCUCUGCUGUUGAAAGAUUGGCUGAACAGCUGUUGGGCUCGGCCUCUGCUGCUCUCUGCUUUAUAAAGCUGGAUACACCAGGCUCCGUCAAACAGAGCUAGAGAGAAGCUCCUGCUUGUUUAAUACACUGGUUCAGCGAAACUUUACUUUGAGAACUUCUGUCAACUGGUUCAGAGAAACUACUCCGCCAUCUGUUAGACUAGUCUAGACCCUCCGCAGCAGUAUGACUACCUUCGUCUCGCAAAAUGAAGUUCUGAACUGGUUCAAUCAAAAAAGAUGGCUACCUGCCACACCUAUAACAACACGUCCAGGCACAACGCUGUCAACAGGGACUUCAUGGCCGCUCUCUCCAAGAACCACGGGAGCACAGGAAAACGCAACAGUCCCCAGUCCACCAACAGAACCAAUGCCAUAGGCAUGCCAAAGUCUGCCCCCAAUGACAAGACACCCUGCAGUAUGCCAAGGUCGAUAUCCUCUGAGACCACCAGUUCCUCCUUGGCCUCCAAGCCCGCCAGUGUGAAGAAGUCUGCCUUGUCCCACCUCAAGAGGUUCCUCAUGCUGGAAGACAACCAGAAGACCAAGACCAAGGGGAGGACUCCGACUUACACUCCUCCUUCUGAAGACUGACAAACACUUGGCUCCACUGCAAUGACCAACAGUCAGCCAUUACACCACCAUGAUAUGACACUGACGCACCAGGCUCUCUCUGGCCUGCUUGCAAUUCAGAAUUGUCCUCUUGGAAUUCAGAACAACGGGGGAUGGGUCAGCAGUCAGUCAAUAAGUGAUACAGGGCCUCCUGUUGCACUAACUUUAAAAAAUAUAUAUUUUUUUUUACUUCCCAUGCCCCCCCCUCCCCCCAACUACCCCUGAGGUCCCCCUUCUGUAGAGCUGUUCAAACAUUAAUUGUCCCACACCACGGCAUCAUUCAGGAAUUCCAUUGUCCCUAUGAAUGGCGGGAACGGCAUCGGAAGCAAAGCUCCCCCUUUUCUUCCAUGUUAUUUAUGACGAGGCAAGCAGAAUAACUCAUUUCAAGUUAUAGGAUGUUUUGAUUGAGAGGAUGAUUUUAUUUAUUUGUUACAAUCACAUUUAUAUGAUAAAUGACAUACACAUUUAUAUUCAUGCUUAAGUUUCAUGCUUCUUGAAGUAUGUUUUUACUUGGUUGUCAUUUAUUUUCGUAGACUUAACUUUAUCUCACUCUUCUCUUGUGAGGUUACCAGCCAAGUAGAGCUGCUCUGUAGCUGUUUACAGGUUUGUUUGUGUGGCUCUACUAUUUUAUGAUCACUGCCAAAUGUUUUACUUUUAUGUAAAGGUCAAAUUUUUAUGUACUGGUGGUUUUGAGAUCAUAUUUGGCUGAAUGGGACGCAUCAACUGGUAACAUUGAUAUCGUUUAUAUGCCUGAACUUUAAUGACAAUGCAAACGUGACUUUCUUUCAGUAGUUUCAUGUUUGUUGAAGAUGGGUUUUGCUGUUUGAAGGCUUCAGUUUUUACCUGUUAGUUUUGAAAUUAUUAUAUAUAUUUUUUCAACGUUAGUUUAACAAUGUCUAUUAGACUGCUUUUGUUCCAACACACUUUCUAUUGUAUUUAGUGACAUGUUUAAUUAAUCCAAUGUGUGGGUCUGUAGCAUUUCACAGAAUACUGAAAUACCUCACAUUUUAUAUUCCUUUUACACCUUGCUUCUGUGAAAUAAAAAUGUUUUCUGGGCUUCUUAUUACUGUGUUACAUUAUAGAACUCCAAGAAGAUAUGUCAGUGUUGCAAUGCGAUCACGAUACUUAUCAAAAGUAUAAGUAACUUUUAAUUCCUUUAAGCAAACCAGACGGUGCCAUUUUGUUAUUCAUGGCUCACCAGGAGCACACUCCAACACUCGGACAUAAUUUACAAAUUGUGUGUUUAGUGAGUCCGUCAGCUCAGAGGCAGUAUGGAUGACCAGUGGGGGUUCUCUUGAUAACUGUGUGACUUGUAUAUUUUCCUGUCCUGUUAAGCAUUAAAAAUGUAACGAGUACUGGUGGGGGGGUGUAUGGAGUAAAAAGUACAUUAUUUUCUUUAGGAAUGUAGAGAAGUAAAAGUUGUUAUAAAUAGUAAGGUGCAGAUACCGCAAAAAAUGACUUAGGUACUUUACACCACUGGCAUUCACAAUGCGUGUUUUCAGCUCA